GGCAAAGUGUCUGGGCAGCUUUCCUGGAGGCCUCACAAUUAAGAAUAAAUUUUUUCAUCAGAAUUAACCAAGGCCAGGGGUCUUGUGUAAUGUUUUUUCCUUCCUCCAGAAAAUCUGGAAUAAAGAAGGUCUGUAUGUAAUGCUAUGAAAAGAUCUCCAAGCUUGAAAAGAAAAACAUGCAGAAUAGUGUGAUUGUAUGCUACUACUGCAUAUAAAGGAAUGAAAAAACAAAAAACAAAAAACAAAAAAAAAAACCAAACACGUACUCAUAUUUGCUUGUGCAGCUCUGGAAGGGACACAUAAGAAAUACUGGUGGUUGCCGGGCGCAAUGGCUCACGCCUAUAAUCCCAGCACUUUGGGAGGCUGAGGCAGGGGGAUCACCUGAGGUCAGGAGUUCAAAACCAGCUUGGCCAGCAUGGCAAACCCGUCUCUACUAAAAAUACAAAAAUUAGCUGGGCGUGGUGGUGUGUAACUGUAAUUCCAGCUACUCGGGAAACUGAGGCAGGAGACUAGCUUGAACCUGGGAGGCGGAGGUUGCCGUGAGCCGAGAUCACGCCACUGCCCUCCAGCCUGGGUGACAAGAGUGAAACUCCAUCUCAAAAAAAAAAAAAAAAAAAAGAAAAGAAGAAAUAACAGUGGUUUUAACUGAGAUGGGGGUGGAGGUGGGGCUUGGCCGGGGGUGUGGGGCGGCAGGGAGGCUUUCCCUGUAUGCCUUUGUAUGGUUUUUGGUUUUGCAAGCUAUAUAAAUGAACUUCCCAUCCAAAAUUAAAUAAAUAAGAUAUAAAAAGAGAGACAUAGAAUAACAGGAAACAAUGUUCUCCAUGUCCUCGGAAGAAAUAAGAGAGGGAAAUUUUAGGCUGUGGCUUUCCCUGAUUAAACAUAAUUUCAGUUACAAAGACGAGCACCACACUGUGAGACAGGGACUCCGCAUUUCAAUAAAUGUCCAUGAGGCUCUGCUGUCAAGAGACGGAGUUUCACCGUGUUAGCCAGGAUGGCCUCAAUCUCCUGACCUUGUGAUCUACCUGCCUCGGCCUCCCAAAGUGCUGGGAUUAUAGGCAUGAGCCACCGCACCUGGCUUUCAGGUAUGUCUUUAUCAGCAGUGUGAAAAUGGACUAAUAUAUAUGUGUAUACACAUAUACAUAUACACAGAUGUUUUUCACUUGGCUUUCAACAAAGAUGUAUUUAUCACAUUUGCUUUUCAUGCAAAAUGUUGCGACUAGGUGAAAAAAGAUAAUAUAAUAGAACAAAUAAAAUACUGAAAGAAAGAGCUCUUGAAUUUUGCUGAAAUGAAAAUUUAAUGAUAAAUGAGAAGGCCUCUAUUUAACAUAAAUGUAACCCUGAAUGUGUUACCGUUGUCCUCUUUGACAUAAUAGGCAAAUGUAUUGAGCUGUAACUACUAUACACACUAUACUAAGUGCUUGAAUUUUAAUCUAAUCUCCCUACAAAAAAAAAAAAGUAUGAAAUUGCUUCCUGGUGUUCUUAGAAGAGAAAUUAAAUUUAUAACAGCCUUUUGAGCACUGUGCCCUGAGUCCUGC
This 1535-nucleotide long non-coding RNA is filed under the name Papio anubis (olive baboon). Its description in RNAcentral is "lncRNA (ENSPANG00000040034.1)". Lineage: Eukaryota; Metazoa; Chordata; Mammalia; Primates; Cercopithecidae. The record is from RNAcentral.